Long non-coding RNA from Danio aesculapii, 452 nucleotides. RefSeq lists it as uncharacterized. The transcript has 2 exons. Lineage: Eukaryota; Metazoa; Chordata; Actinopteri; Cypriniformes; Danionidae. The record is from RefSeq and is a predicted model, not a curated record.
UACUUUCAAUUUGUGCCGAUGCAGAGAAACUGAAUAGGUUGCUCGUUAACUGCAUUGUAUUUACGUAUAUUACAAAUUGAUAUAAACUGAGAGAAAGUAUCAAGAUAUUCACGAGCACUUGAGUCACUGGACUGAAGCUGUAUUUCUUCACUUUUGAAUUUGAAUCUCGGCCAGGUUUUUAGAUACAAUAGAAUUCUUCCGGAUGGAAGAUGGCGAGCCAGUUACCCUUGAUCAUUGGAUCCAUGGAGUCUUUGAUUGCUGUUGAUGUCUCACCAGAUUUCAUGACUGGACUGAUUUCCACAAAAGGAAAUAUAUUUUUUUGAACCGGAGAGACUGAACUGGAAAAAAAGACAAACACAUACACUGAUUUCGCACCACACUUUAAUACUGUUUUGGGAUAUAAAAUUGUUCUUUGUUGUUGAAAAAAAUAUACAUUUCAUGUAAAAAAGUAA